GCGAACGUAGCUCAGUUGGUUAGAGCACAAUCUUGCCAAGAUUGAAGUCGGGUGUUCGAGUCACCUUGUUCGCU
This 74-nucleotide transfer RNA is filed under the name Candidatus Hodgkinia cicadicola. RNAcentral describes it as "tRNA-Gly". It matches the Rfam family "tRNA". From Rfam's summary of the family: Transfer RNA (tRNA) molecules are approximately 80 nucleotides in length. Their secondary structure includes four short double-helical elements and three loops (D, anti-codon, and T loops). The record is from RNAcentral. Lineage: Bacteria; Pseudomonadati; Pseudomonadota; Alphaproteobacteria; Hyphomicrobiales.